RNAcentral lists this transfer RNA (73 nucleotides) under Thecamonas trahens. RNAcentral describes it as "tRNA-Pro". It matches the Rfam family "tRNA". Rfam says of the family: Transfer RNA (tRNA) molecules are approximately 80 nucleotides in length. The record is from RNAcentral. RNAcentral also lists the same sequence under 1 other name. Lineage: Eukaryota; Apusomonadida; Apusomonadidae.
CGGGAUGUGGUGCAGUAGGUAGCAUAUCUGUCCUGGGAACAGAAGGUCACGUGUUCGAUUCACGUCAUCCCGA